GACGAACGCUGGCGGCGUGCUUAACACAUGCAAGUCGAACGGAAAGGCCCUGCUUUUGUGGGGUGCUCGAGUGGCGAACGGGUGAGUAACACGCGAGUAACCUGCCCUUGACUUUGGGAUAACUUCAGGAAACUGGGGCUAAUACCGGAUAGGAGCUCCUGCUGCAUGGUGGUGGUUGGAAAGUUUCGGCGGUUGGGGAUGGACUCGCGGCUUAUCAGCUUGUUGGUGGGGUAGUGGCUUACCAAGGCUUUGACGGGUAGCCCGCCUGGGAGGGUGACCGGCCACAUUGGGACUGCGAUACGGCGCAGACUCGUACGGGAGGCAGUAGUGGGGAAUAUUGCACAGUGGGCGGAAGCCUGAUGCAGCAACGCCGCGUGCGGGAUGACGUCCUUCGGGUUGUAAACCGCUUUCGCCUGUGACGAGGCGUGAGUGACGGUAAUGGAUAAAGAAGCACCGGCUAACUACGUG
Molecule: ribosomal RNA, 468 nt
Filed under: uncultured bacterium
Lineage: Bacteria
Description: partial 16S ribosomal RNA
Rfam family: Bacterial small subunit ribosomal RNA
Source: RNAcentral